UUGUCCUGUGACUGCGUACCUUUUGUAUAAUGGGUCAGCGACUUAUAUUCAGUGGCAAGGUUAACCAUCUAGGGGAGCCGUAGGGAAACCGAGUCUUAACUGGGCGUUCAGUCUCUGGAUAUAGACCCGAAACCAGGUGAUCUAGCCAUGGGCAGGUUGAAGGUUGAGUAACAUCAACUGGAGGACCGAACCGACUAAUGUUGAAAAAUUAGCGGAUGACUUGUGGCUAGGGGUGAAAGGCCAAUCAAACCUGGAGAUAGCUGGUUCUCCCCGAAAGCUAUUUAGGUAGCGCCUCGGACGAAUACUACUGGGGGUAGAGCACUGUUAAGGCUAGGGGGUCAUCCCGACUUACCAACCCUUUGCAAACUCCGAAUACCAGUAAGUACUAUCCGGGAGACACACGGCGGGUGCUAACGUCCGUCGUGGAGAGGGAAACAACCCAGACCGCCAGCUAAGGUCCCAAAUUACUACUAAGUGGGAAACGAUGUGGGAAGGCUCAGACAGCCAGGAUGUUGGCUUAGAAGCAGCCAUCAUUUAAAGAAAGCGUAAUAGCUCACUGGUCGAGUCGGCCUGCGCGGAAGAUGUAACGGGGCUAAGUAGUAAACCGAAGCUGCGGCAAUGUGCUUUUGCACAUUGGGUAGGGGAGCGUUCUGUAAGCGGUUGAAGGUGUGUGGUAACGCAUGCUGGACGUAUCAGAAGUGCGAAUGCUGACAUGAGUAACGAUAAAGGGGGUGAAAAACCUCCUCGCCGGAAGACCAAGGGUUCCUGUCCAACGUUAAUCGGGGCAGGGUAAGUCGACCCCUAAGGCGAGGCCGAAAGGCGUAGUCGAUGGGAAACGGGUUAAUAUUCCCGUACUUCUUACAAUUGCGAUGGGGGGACGGAGAAGGCUAGGUGGGCCUGGCGACGGUUGUCCAGGUUCAAGUGCGUAGGCUUGAGAGUUAGGUAAAUCCGGCUCUCUCUAAGGCUGAGACACGACGUCGAGCACCUACGGGUGUGAAGUCAUUGAUG
RNAcentral lists this ribosomal RNA (1008 nucleotides) under Vibrio parahaemolyticus. Its description in RNAcentral is "partial 23S ribosomal RNA". It matches the Rfam family "Bacterial large subunit ribosomal RNA", at positions 586 to 1599 of the family's 2925-position model. The record is from RNAcentral. Lineage: Bacteria; Pseudomonadati; Pseudomonadota; Gammaproteobacteria; Vibrionales; Vibrionaceae.